RNAcentral lists this long non-coding RNA (333 nucleotides) under Rattus norvegicus (Norway rat). Its description in RNAcentral is "long non-coding RNA NONRATT017680". Lineage: Eukaryota; Metazoa; Chordata; Mammalia; Rodentia; Muridae. The record is from RNAcentral.
GGACGGUGGCCGAGAGGGGAGCCUCAGUACAGAGGAUCUGCUGCGAGGGGCCUCUGCAGAAGAGCUCCUGGCGCAGUGUCUGAACAACAGUCUGCUGGAAGAGAGAGAAGAGAACAAGAGGUUUGAAGAUCAACUUCAGCAAUGGCUAUCACGAGACUCACAGGCCUUCACCGAGUCAGCCCGCCUUCCUCUCUACCUCCCUCAGACAUUAGUGUCUUAUCCUGAUGCCAUCAAAACUCAGACCAAGGUGAAGACAUCCACAAGUCCUCAGGUGAGAGCAAGUCCCCUUGACAUUUCCAGAGUUAAAGGCAGAAUGCACCAGCCUCAGUAGAC